This 253-nucleotide ribosomal RNA is filed under the name uncultured bacterium. Its description in RNAcentral is "partial 16S ribosomal RNA". It matches the Rfam family "Bacterial small subunit ribosomal RNA", at positions 524 to 776 of the family's 1533-position model. The record is from RNAcentral.
UACGGAGGAUCCAAGCGUUAUCCGGAUUUAUUGGGUUUAAAGGGUGCGUAGGCGGAUUGAUAAGUUAGAGGCGAAAUGUCCGAGCUCAACUCGGGAACUGCCUCUAAUACUGUUGAUCUAGAGAGUAGACGCGGUAGGCGGAAUGUAUGGUGUAGCGGUGAAAUGCUUAGAGAUCAUACAGAACACCGAUUGCGAAGGCAGCUUACCAAUCUAUAUCUGACGUUGAGGCACGAAAGCGUGGGGAGCAAACAGG